Odocoileus virginianus texanus is the source of this 427-nucleotide non-coding RNA. The record is from RefSeq and is a predicted model, not a curated record. Lineage: Eukaryota; Metazoa; Chordata; Mammalia; Artiodactyla; Cervidae.
AGCUCCCUCCCCUGCACCGCCCACCUCUCCUCAUCCGCGAAUUGAGAGAACUCUGUGGAGAUGGGUGUGGCCGGACUUUUCAACUUAUUGAACUGUUGGGACCGGGGUAGGGAAGGCAAGGAAAGCACUGGAAGUCGCUAGACGGGAUUCCCCGCGCAAAGAAUUCUCUGGAUCACCUCCUCAUCUCACCCUCAGCCUAACUCUGGAUAUGGGGAAAAGACCCCUCCACUCCCUGCUACCAGUGACCGGGGAAAGCAGAGUCUGUAUGCCAGAAGCACAAAGGGAGAAUGGGUCCACGUGUACUCUUCCAGUCCUGUCCACCCCUCAACUCACCGUGCAUUGCUGGAGGCCCCUGGGCUCUCGGUCUGCCCUGAUCGAGACCCCCAUUCCAAAACACAGGCCAGGAGGCAGACCAACAAAAAGAAGC